This 638-nucleotide ribosomal RNA is filed under the name uncultured bacterium. Its description in RNAcentral is "bacterial SSU rRNA". It matches the Rfam family "Bacterial small subunit ribosomal RNA", at positions 190 to 793 of the family's 1533-position model. The record is from RNAcentral.
ACCGAGGGAAGAAAAAGCCCCUUUUUGACCUUCGGGCCUUGCGCUAUCAGAUGAGCCUAGGUCGGAUUAGCUAGUUGGUGAGGUAAUGGCUCACCAAGGCUACGAUCCGUAACUGGUCUGAGAGGAUGAUCAGUCACACUGGAACUGAGACACGGUCCAGACUCCUACGGGAGGCAGCAGUGGGGAAUAUUGGACAAUGGGCGAAAGCCUGAUCCAGCCAUGCCGCGUGUGUGAAGAAGGUCUUCGGAUUGUAAAGCACUUUAAGUUGGGAGGAAGGGCAUUAACCUAAUACGUUAGUGUUUUGACGUUACCGACAGAAUAAGCACCGGCUAACUCUGUGCCAGCAGCCGCGGUAAUACAGAGGGUGCAAGCGUUAAUCGGAAUUACUGGGCGUAAAGCGCGCGUAGGUGGUUUGUUAAGUUGAAUGUGAAAUCCCCGGGCUCAACCUGGGAACUGCAUCCAAAACUGGCAAGCUAGAGUAUGGUAGAGGGUAGUGGAAAUUUCCUGUGUAGCGGUUGAAAUGCGUAAAUAUAGGAAGGAACACCAGUUGGCGAAGGCGACUACCUGGGACUGAUACUGACACCUGAGGUGCGAAAAGCCGUGGGGGAGCAAACAGAGAAUUAGAUAACCCUGGGUAG